AUCCUUUUGUAGUUCAUAAACAGGAUGAAAGGGUUUUCACAUUUAUUAUGAGAUGUGCUUCCCUCCAACCUUGUUAUGAGUUUGAUGCAUUAUCCAUCUGAUG
RNAcentral lists this small nucleolar RNA (103 nucleotides) under Nomascus leucogenys (northern white-cheeked gibbon). RNAcentral's name for it is "Small nucleolar RNA U13". It matches the Rfam family "Small nucleolar RNA U13". The record is from Rfam by way of RNAcentral. Lineage: Eukaryota; Metazoa; Chordata; Mammalia; Primates; Hylobatidae.